RNAcentral lists this long non-coding RNA (601 nucleotides) under Glycine max (soybean). Its description in RNAcentral is "long non-coding RNA (GMAX_LNC001521)". The record is from RNAcentral. Lineage: Eukaryota; Viridiplantae; Streptophyta; Magnoliopsida; Fabales; Fabaceae.
UGCCUACGUCCAGUCCCCAAGCAACCCGCUUGAGAGUUCCACUAUCUUGUAAAUUCCUUUUACAAGUUCUAAACACACAAGGACAAUCCUUCCUUUGUGUUUAGAAUUCCUUUACAACAAGAGACUCACGGUCUCUUAAUCCCUUAGAGAAUGAGAAGAAGAAGAAGAACAAAUCUCUCUAGAAAGAGAUGGAUUUUACAGAUUGAGCACUCAAAUAAUUCCUUAAUGAAUUGCAAUUGAAUUGGCCAAGGAAUACUUAAGAGGAUAAAAUGAUUUUGCUCUUUGAGAGGAUAAACACUUGUUGUUCUGAAAAACUCUUAGCAAUUUCGUGUUUAAGUCACAUAUAUAUAGACCAUUGGUGGUCAUGAAUAAAGCCUUUGAAAAGUUGUGACUCUUAAAAUUAUUUUUCUGAAAAUCCUGUCUGGUAAUCGAUUACAGUAAUUGUGUAAUCGAUUACAGCUUUUAAAAUUUGAAUUAAAAACGUUUACUAACUGCUGGUAAUCGAUUACCAAAAUUGUGUAAUCGAUUACACAGUCUAAAAUUUCGAAUUCAAAUUUUAGUAGCUGUUAUAAAAUAUAUUUGGCCACUGGUAAUCGAUUAC